GACGAACGCUGGCGGCGUGCUUAACACAUGCAAGUCGAGCGGUAAGGCCCUUUCGGGGGUACGACGAGCGGCGAACGGGUGAGUAACACGUGGGUGACCUGCCCUCAGCUCUGGGAUAAGCCUGGGAAACCGGGUCUAAUACCGGAUAUGACUCCAUGACGCAUGUUGUGGGGUGGAAAGCCUUGUGCGGCUGAGGAUGGGCCCGCGGCCUAUCAGCUUGUUGGUGGGGUGAUGGCCUACCAAGGCGACGACGGGUAGCCGGCCUGAGAGGGCGACCGGCCGACACUGGGACUGAGACACGGCCCAGACUCCUACGGGAGGCAGCAGUGGGGAAUCUUGCGCAAUGGGCAAAGCCUGACGCAGCGACGCCGCGUGAGGGAUGACGGCCU
Molecule: ribosomal RNA, 389 nt
Filed under: uncultured bacterium
Lineage: Bacteria
Description: bacterial SSU rRNA
Rfam family: Bacterial small subunit ribosomal RNA
Source: RNAcentral